RNAcentral lists this ribosomal RNA (555 nucleotides) under uncultured Propionibacterium sp. Its description in RNAcentral is "bacterial SSU rRNA". It matches the Rfam family "Bacterial small subunit ribosomal RNA", at positions 531 to 1082 of the family's 1533-position model. The record is from RNAcentral. Lineage: Bacteria; Bacillati; Actinomycetota; Actinomycetes; Propionibacteriales; Propionibacteriaceae.
GGUGCGAGCGUUGUCCGGAUUUAUUGGGCGUAAAGGGCUCGUANGUGGUUGAUCGCGUCGGAAGUGUAAUCUUGGGGCUUAACCCUGAGCGUGCUUUCGAUACGGGUUGACUUGAGGAAGGUAGGGGAGAAUGGAAUUCCUGGUGGGGCGGUGGAAUGCGCAGAUAUCAGGAGGAACACCAGUGGCGAAGGCGGUUCUCUGGGCCUUUCCUGACGCUGAGGAGCGAAAGCGUGGGGAGCGAACAGGCUUAGAUACCCUGGUAGUCCACGCUGUAAACGGUGGGUACUAGGUGUGGGGUCCAUUCCACGGGUUCCGUGCCGUAGCUAACGCUUUAAGUACCCCGCCUGGGGAGUACGGCCGCAAGGCUAAAACCCAAAGGAAUUGACGGGGCCCCGCACAAGCGGCGGAGCAUGCGGAUUAAUUCGAUGCAACGCGUAGAACCUUACCUGGGUUUGACAUGGAUCGGGAGUGCUCAGAGAUGGGUGUGCCUCUUUUGGGGUCGGUUCACAGGUGGUGCAUGGCUGUCGUCAGCUCGUGUCGUGAGAUGUUGGGUUA